AUCACAGAAUAACUGUUUAGAUAUCUCAUAUUUAACAGUUCGAUUUUAUUCUUCAUAUAACUCUUUUAGAUUAAGGAGUAUAGAAGGAAUAUCUAUGUCCUUAUGCUGCCUUUGAACCUCAUUAUUCAUUGAGGCAAGCAUGAUACAUUUGACAGUCACAUUGUCAUCCUUUUAUAUCUUAUAUGUGAUUCUUUCCUCCUCUGAUGCAUCUUCUCUGAUCAUAUCCGGUGCAGAUGAAUCAAGUAUAUACACUUUCUUCUGUGUGAGAACUAU
This 273-nucleotide long non-coding RNA is filed under the name Elaeis guineensis (African oil palm). Its description in RNAcentral is "long non-coding RNA (EGUI_LNC047635)". The record is from RNAcentral. Lineage: Eukaryota; Viridiplantae; Streptophyta; Magnoliopsida; Arecales; Arecaceae.